CCGAUACCCAAAAUGAGAGGGGGGUGCAGUGCAGGUCAAGCUUCCUGCCCCCCCCCCAAUUCCUUUGACCCUCCCGUGAGGAUGUGCACUAGGUAAGUGGAACUGGGCAGAUGGCUUGCUUUCCCUGUGCCCAAGUUCCCACCUCUGUGGAGUUUGGGAGAUGUUGCCCCGAGGCCUGGGAGGGUCUCCAAAGCCAGAGACAAGUCUCACCGACACUGAGACGGAACAGGAGGUUCUCAGUCACGAGAGGUAAAGACUAAAAAGCCAAAUUUGAAUCCCCUUCAGUUAGUUAGGAAGAGCCCCCAGCAGGGACCCUGCUCACUCAUCCCGUCUCGGUUUGCUCCCUACGUGGAAGGAAACUCCAAGAAGUUUCCUUCUUUCGCCUUCCAGAAGCAGAAUAAAAUGGAGAUGUUGGAAAGACAUCAGGGGCUCCAUCUCAGGGGCCCCCAUCCCUUCCUUGGCUCAGACCCAUUCUCUUUCCCAAAAGGUCCAGUUUUGGAGAGGUUCCCCAAAAUGACAGAAAGCCCCUCUUUUUCCCCCCCAACCCAGCCUCCAGCUUUUCUUCUGUUGUCUUCUGGCCACAAAUAUCUAAAAGAGUCCCCCGUGCGCUUAAGUCUCUCUUCUUCCCCCUCCAGCUCAAUAGGGCAUUUGGUCUGAUCAAAUCAAAUCCCAAGUACGACUCCUAAGCCGCGCCUCCCUCUCCAGUGGCCCAGUCAAUCCUGCUGGGACACUACAACCCACAGCAAGGAUUGAUCAAAACCCCUCCCUUCUCACUCUCCCACCAAGGAAUCGGUGUCAUGGACACCCUCCCUCUACCUGUGGCUGAUUUUUGUUGGUUUAUACAUUUGGGUUUUUUGAGUGUUUCUGUUUUCUGUUUGUUUGGUGGUCUUUGUUUUGCACUGUAAAUACCAUGAUAGGGACCCCUCCUUGGAACAUGGCUUAUUUAAUAAUUUAUUUGCUAUUUAUUGAGCGGUGUUGGGAUUGGGACAGGAGCGAGGCCACCUCUUCCCAAGAAUCCCUCCAACUCUGCGCUCCAGAGACACCGUGGGCCCACGCAGCGCCGUCUCACCCAGGUAAUGAGUUCGAGACUCACCGAAACAAAUUGGAAUUGGCAGCAACAGAGGCUCCGGCCAUAGCAAUUAAGCUCCAAAUGGAACUAAAGCACUGGUUUAUCUCCAGGAAAAACCUCAUUCCGAUGGAAAUUCAUUGAGGAAUCAAAUGCCUUCCCCGGGAACCAACUUCUCUUAAACAGUCACAGCUCCUUGAAAAAUAAAAGUGGAGAGAAUGAAAAAGGUCGCCCCUGGUCUGUAGCCAAGAGAAGCUACUCCGCCUCAUCUUGGAAGGAGCCAAGCCAAAGAGACUGGCGUCGCAUUUCUCUGUGCUUCUCUGGCUCGUGUGUCUGUGUGCAUGGAAGGGAAUGGGCCUCGGGCCUCAGUCUUGUCAUCUGUGAAAUGGGAAUUGGCCUGAGCGAUCCUGGCAGGGUGGGGGAGAGAGGGCUCUGGCUCUGACCCGGAGGACAGCUUCCUGUUGGAAUUUUUGUCCCUGGGUCUUCUGCGGUAGGUUGAACGGCAGCGACCAAGGACGGGAACAGAAAGGUGGGGUGUGGAUUUCAUCUGCUGGGGGAGGUCAUGAUAGCUGAGUUCUGGUGCCAACUAUGGGAGACCGCGAGGUGUCGUCCCCUUGAUAACUCCCGUGACUUGAGUUCAAGUCCUCUGUAUUUACCUUGAACUUCUCUCCAAGCCUAGUGGUCCACAGUCAUCCCAGGAGAGACCAAGAUGGUUUGGCUCUGCCCUGCAUUUUACCCCCGUUGGUGGUCAGACCUUGUUUUGUACAAUCAUUCAAGGAAGCCGGUGACGUAGGUCCGAGUACCACUUUUCAGAUGAGAAAACUGAGGCCUGGGAAGGGGGAGUGUUGUGCCCAAGUCCCUUGAGCUCAGAUGGGGCUGGCGGUGCCCCUCGUCCCCUUGGAAGCUCUUUCUCUGGGGGCGUGUGCUCUGAGGACUUUGUCUUACUUCUGUCCCACCUCUUGGUUUUCCUCCAAGUGUCCAUUGGCCAAGGACCUAGCAGAACCCACCACACUGGCCCAGGGGACUCGGUACACCUGAAGGCCAUUUCUCUACUCUGGGGCUGAGACUCCCACCUGGAAAACACCGAACCAAAGGAGCCAUCCCCAGUCCAGCCCAGCCUGACCAGCAAAUGCCCUGAGUGUCCACCUCAGAGGGAAAGACACUGCUGUGUCCUCCAGCGUCCUGGGACCCUGUCCUCUGCCCAGGGACACAGUGGCCACGGCUUGCUUGAUUUCUGAUCUCUACAACUAAGCCUAACCUCCCCCGGGUUUCCGGUUUUCAGUCUGUAUGGAACAUGUCUGUGUUCUAAUUAAAGGUCCAUGGUAUGGU
This 2395-nucleotide long non-coding RNA is filed under the name Marmota monax (woodchuck). The record is from RNAcentral. Lineage: Eukaryota; Metazoa; Chordata; Mammalia; Rodentia; Sciuridae.